Molecule: ribosomal RNA, 273 nt
Filed under: uncultured bacterium
Lineage: Bacteria
Description: partial 16S ribosomal RNA
Rfam family: Bacterial small subunit ribosomal RNA
Source: RNAcentral
GAUGAACGCUAGCGGCAGGCUUAAUACAUGCAAGUCGAGGGGCAGCAUAAGUAGCAAUACUUGAUGGCGACCGGCAAACGGGUGCGGAACACGUACGCAACCUUCCUUUAAGUGGGGAAUAGCCCGGGGGAAACCCGGAUUAAUACCCCGUAAUAUUAUGAUGUGGCAUCACAUUAUAAUUAUAGAUUCAUCGCUUAAAGAUGGGCGUGCGCCUGAUUAGGUAGUUGGCGGAGUAAUAGCCCACCAAGCCUGCGAUCAGUAACUGGUGUGAGA